This 85-nucleotide transfer RNA is filed under the name Acidobacteriota bacterium. RNAcentral's name for it is "Acidobacteria bacterium (activated sludge metagenome) tRNA-Leu". It matches the Rfam family "tRNA". From Rfam's summary of the family: Transfer RNA (tRNA) molecules are approximately 80 nucleotides in length. Lineage: Bacteria; Pseudomonadati; Acidobacteriota. RNAcentral also lists the same sequence under 1 other name. The record is from RNAcentral.
GCCGAGGUGGCGAAAUUGGUAGACGCACUAGUCUUAGGAACUAGCGUCGAAAGACAUGCGAGUUCGAGUCUCGCCCUCGGCACCA